GACGAACGCUGGCGGCGUGCUUAACACAUGCAAGUCGAACGGAAAGGCCCUGCUUUUGUGGGGCGCUCGAGUGGCGAACGGGUGAGUAACACGUGAGUAACCUGCCCUUGACUUUGGGAUAACUUCAGGAAACUGGGGCUAAUACCGGAUAGGAGCUCCUGAUGCACGGUGGGGGUUGGAAAGUUUCGGCGGUUGGGGAUGGACUCGCGGCUUAUCAGCUGGUUGGUGAGGUAGUGGCUUACCAAGGCUUCGACGGGUAGCCUGCCUGGGAGGUUGACCGGCCACAUUGGGACUGAGAUACGGCCCAGUAUCCUACGGGAGGCAGCAGUGGGGAAUAUUGCGCAAUGGGCGGGAGCCUGAUGCAGCAACGCCGCGUGCGGGAUGACGUCCUUCGGGUUGUAAACCGAUUUCGCCUGUAACGAAGCGUGAGUGACGGUAAUGAGUAAAGAAGCACCGGCUAACUACGUG
Molecule: ribosomal RNA, 468 nt
Filed under: uncultured bacterium
Lineage: Bacteria
Description: partial 16S ribosomal RNA
Rfam family: Bacterial small subunit ribosomal RNA
Source: RNAcentral